Molecule: long non-coding RNA, 2732 nt
Filed under: Lathyrus oleraceus (garden pea)
Lineage: Eukaryota; Viridiplantae; Streptophyta; Magnoliopsida; Fabales; Fabaceae
Description: Pisum sativum (pea) long non-coding RNA (PSAT_LNC009761)
Source: RNAcentral
AAAUUCUUUCCUACCUUCUCUUGAUCAAUGUUGCUCUAUUGGUAUUGUUAAUUAAUGAUGGGAAAUCAAGUGCAACUCGCUUUCCCUCAGUAAAACUAAGAGCAAAUGGUGAUUUCAUGCUACCUGAAAAAAGUUGAUAAAUUUGGAAGACAAGGCUCGAGUGUCUUGGGUGAUAAUAUUUAUUACAACACAAAAGAAAUCAUAGGAGGUCAUGGUCGAAGCCACCAUCAUUCAUUGCAACCUGGUAAUGUUGGUCGUAUUUUAUCAGAAAUCCCAUCAGGUCCAGAUCCCAUUCAUAUCAUGGUCGAAGCCACCAUCAUUCAUUGCAACCUGGUAAUGUUGGUCGUAUUUUAUCAGAAAUCCCAUCAGGUCCAGAUCCCAUUCAUAACCCCGAUUCCCCUAGUGCACGUGUUUAUGGUUGAUGUAUGAAUGGAAUAGAUGUAUUCAAUAUUUAUAAAAUAAAUUGUGAGAUUCUGUAUACACUUGAUGUAUUAGUUCAAUGUUAAUAAUUAAAUGUUAUAAACUAAAGUUAUAGAGUUCAUGGGUUAUCUCUAUUUAUAUUUCUCAACUAUUAGCCUUUUUAUUUCUCGUUGCAUCGGUUUGGAAUAUCUAUAUUAAUAUCUAUAUUUUGCAAGUAGAAAAAUACUUUACAAAGUUGUAGUUCUUUUUCAAAAAUGUAUUGAUAAGUAUAUAGAUACAAUUAUUAAAUUUUCUUCCACCUUAAAGAAUAUCAAACCUGGCGAUGUUUUCUAUCACACUUUCUUAAUAUCACAAAACAUUCUCUAGGGCCUUGGAAUUAAUAUUGACAGGAACAUGACACUUUGGCUAAAGGGUGCUUCUUGCCUACAUCGUCAUCUUCAUCUCCACUGAUGUCAUUAUCCUUGUAGCAGGACUCCCCACAUUUUGGGCAUUGAUUAAGUUCUUGAUAAUAUUUCCUCUCUAAUUGCAAUAGUUACAACAUGCAUAUUUUUUGACAUAAUCCAAACAAUUGGACACAAUAGAUUCUUGGCUUCAAAACUGUGGUUUGGACAAAUUUCUCCUUCUAGAAGCAUCUCUUUCAGCAAUUCAAGAAAUCAUAUUAAACAUUUAUCUGUCCAUCAUCUUUUUUCCUUCAAAUUAAAAAUAUUAAAAAUAGUCGAUAAUACAUGUAAAUUUGUGAACCUCUUAAAUAAAAACUAAUCUUUCUCACUAAAUAAAGUACCACACAUAUGGGCUUUCCGAAAAGAAGAUUCUCCAAUUUCACUGGUCAUAUCUUAUAGUCUAUCAUCCAUAUCUACGUUAACUUUGUAUCUAUGUGACUUCAUAGUUUGGAAUUCAUCUACUUCAGCCAGUCACAUCCAUGUUGUAUAAUUUUAGAAUAAAUUUUUCAACAACCUAGGUGAUUGAAAAUUACUUUCUUUUAAAAAGAAUACAUUCCAACAUAUAACAUAAGGACCAUAAAAGAUUCCAUUGUUGUUGGAAGUGUUUUUUUCCGUGAAUUCUAGAAAUUCAAGUAUUGCUCCCACAUACUUAUAACAUAAAUAUGAAAUCUACAUUUUGUAGUAUUUGGUGGAAUCUCCCUCAACGGGUACUUAUAAUGUCUUCAACACUCUUUAGAUAGAGAGAAUAAGAAAAUACGCUUGUAGCACUAUAUACUAUGGACCAUAACUUACAUAUAUAAUGAUGAUCAGUUAGGAUUCACGUUAUUCAAAAAUGGACAAUAUUGAAAUACUCAUAUUUGAGUCCAUAUCAAACUAAAUAAUUAAUUAAUUAAUUUUCAAAAUAUAAUCUUAAUUAUUUUUUUGUCUUUAUUUGAUCACUUAAUCAUAAUAAUUAAUUUAAAAGUAUGGCCACAUAAUAAUUAGUAGAAUGAAAGAAUUAAAUAAUAUUUAAAUAUAGUAUAUUCCAACACAUUUUACACGGAUGUCUAAUAGAAAUUCGGUUCAAUAGUAUACUUUACUAAUUUUCAUAAAAUUUAUCAUUUUGGAUGGUAUAAUUAUUGUCAAGAAACAAUAAUUAUUUAAUGAUUUUAUUAAAACAAAAAAUACUAAAUAUAUGUAUAUUUUCUAUCUUUAUUUUUAUAAAGUUCAUUUUUUUGACUAAAAUGAAUAAAUGUUCAUAUGGAGACAACUUUUUAAAAGGUUGUGUUAGGUGAAACAAUAUUCUACUAGUUACUAGUAUAUGUAUAUAUACAUCCACUGUAUGUCUACCUUAAAUUAUAUUUCAAAGUUAGCACCAUAUUCGAAUAACGUGCUACAAAUGAUAAUGGUGCAAAAAAUUCUUUCCUACCUUCUCUUGAUCAAUGUUGCUCUAUUGGUAUUGUUAAUUUAUGAUGGGAAAUCAAGUGCAACUCGCUUUCCCUCAGUAACACUAAGAGCAAAUGGUGAUUUCGUGCUACCUGAAAAAGUUGAUAAAUUUGGAAGACAAGGAUCGAGAGUCUUGGCGGAUAAUAUUUAUUACAACACAAAAGAAAUCAUAGGAGGUCAUGGUCGAAGCCACCAUCUUUCAUUGCAACCUGGUAAUGUUGGUCGUAUUUUAUCAGAAAUCCCAUCAGGUCCAGAUCCCAUUCAUAACCCCGAUUCCCCUAGUGCACGUGUUUAUGGUUGAUAUGUGGAUGGAAUAGAUGUAUUCAAUAUUUAAAAAAUAAAUUGUGAUAUUCUGUAUACACUUGAUGUCCUAGUUCAAUGUUAAUAAUUAAAUGUUAUAAACUCAAGUUAUAGAGUUCAUGAGUUAUCACUAUUUAUAUUUCUCAA